RNAcentral lists this non-coding RNA (27 nucleotides) under Homo sapiens (human). The record is from RNAcentral. Lineage: Eukaryota; Metazoa; Chordata; Mammalia; Primates; Hominidae.
UGGAGGACCUGGCCCGCAAGGACUACC